UACGUAGGGGGCAAGCGUUGUCCGGAUUUAUUGGGCGUAAAGAGCGUGUAGGCGGCCAGAUAGGUCCGUUGUGAAAACUGGAGGCUUAACCUCCAGCUGUCGAUGGAAACCAUCUGGCUAGAGUCCGGAAGAGGAGAGUGGAAUUCCUGGUGUAGCGGUGAAAUGCGCAGAUAUCAGGAGGAACACCUAUGGCGAAGGCAGCUCGCUGGGACGGUACUGACGCUGAGGCGCGAAAGCGUGGGGAGCGAACAGG
This 253-nucleotide ribosomal RNA is filed under the name uncultured bacterium. Its description in RNAcentral is "partial 16S ribosomal RNA". It matches the Rfam family "Bacterial small subunit ribosomal RNA", at positions 524 to 776 of the family's 1533-position model. The record is from RNAcentral.